Molecule: ribosomal RNA, 160 nt
Filed under: uncultured bacterium
Lineage: Bacteria
Description: partial 16S ribosomal RNA
Rfam family: Bacterial small subunit ribosomal RNA
Source: RNAcentral
UCGCGGAUCAGCAUGCCGCGGUGAAUACGUUCCCGGGUCUUGUACACACCGCCCGUCACACCAUGGGAGCCGGUAAUACCCGAAGUCAGUAGUUUAACCCUUGUGGAGGACGCUGCCGAAGGUAGGAUUGGCGACUGGGGUGAAGUCGUAACAAGGUAGC